UCCAGCAGCCAAGUCACCCUGCAACUCACAUCUGGCAACCCACUGAAGCUAAGCAGGUGUGAGCCUGGUCAGUACUUGGAUGUGAGACCUCUUGACAAAAAAAAGGUUGCUGCUGGAA
This 118-nucleotide ribosomal RNA is filed under the name Lepisosteus oculatus (spotted gar). Lineage: Eukaryota; Metazoa; Chordata; Actinopteri; Semionotiformes; Lepisosteidae. The record is from RNAcentral.